Molecule: ribosomal RNA, 924 nt
Filed under: uncultured bacterium
Lineage: Bacteria
Description: bacterial SSU rRNA
Rfam family: Bacterial small subunit ribosomal RNA
Source: RNAcentral
GCAGUAGCGUCAGUAAGGAGGGUGAAGCUCCGACUCAAUCGGGAAAUGCUUUCAACUAGCUGACUGAGAUCGGAAGGGGAAGCGGAUUAGCGGUGUAAGGGUGAAUCUGUAGAUAUCGCUAAGAACACGGCGGCGAAGGCGGCUUCCUGGUCCGAUUCUGACGCUGAAUUGCGAAAGCUAGGGGAGCGAACAGAAUUAGAUACUCUGGUAGUCCUAGCCGUAAACGAUGAGUACUAGGUGUUGGGGCGUAAGCCUCAGUGCCGCAGCUAACGCAUUAAGUACUCCACCUGGGGACUACGGCCGCAAGGCUAAAACUCAAAGGAAUUGACGGGGACCCGCACAAGCGGUGGAACAUGUGGUUUAAUUCGAUGCUACGCGAAGAACCUCACCUAGGCUUGACAUGCUCGUCGUAUCCCUAUGAAAGUAGGGAGUCGGUUCGGCCGGACGAUGCACAGGUGCUGCAUGGCUGUCGUCAGCUCGUGUCGUGAGAUGUUGGGUUAAGUCCCGCAACGAGCGCAACCAUUGCCCUAUGUUGCCACCACAUAUUUCCUCACGGAAAGAUGUGAGCACUCUUGGGGGACUGCCUGGGAUAACCAGGAGGAAGGUGGAGAUGACGUCAAGUCAGUACGGCCCUUAUGCCUAGGGCUACACACGUGUUACAAUGGCAGGUACAAAGGGUUGCCAACCCGCGAGGGGGAGCUAAUCUCAAAAACCCUGCCCCAGUUCGGAUAAGAGUCUGCAAUCCGACUCUUUGAAGCCGGAAUCGCUAGUAAUGGGAGAUCAGAACGCUCCCGUGAAUACGUUCCCGGGUCUUGUACACACCGCCCGUCAAGCGAUGGAAGCCGGGGGUACCCGAAGUCCUAUGUAGAUAGGCCGAAGGUAAAACUGGUGACUGGCGCUAAGUCGUAACAAGGUAACCAAGGG